Molecule: small nuclear RNA, 194 nt
Organism: Sorex araneus (European shrew)
Lineage: Eukaryota; Metazoa; Chordata; Mammalia; Eulipotyphla; Soricidae
Gene: U2
Rfam family: U2 spliceosomal RNA
About the family: U2 is a small nuclear RNA (snRNA) component of the spliceosome (involved in pre-mRNA splicing). Complementary binding between U2 snRNA (in an area lying towards the 5' end but 3' to hairpin I) and the branchpoint sequence (BPS) of the intron results the bulging out of an unpaired adenosine, on the BPS, which initiates a nucleophilic attack at the intronic 5' splice site, thus starting the first of two transesterification reactions that mediate splicing.
Source: Ensembl
AUUCCUUUUAGAUGUUUUGGUUAAGAUCACGUGUAGUAUCUAUUCUUAUCAAUGUAAUACCUUAUAUGUCCUCUAUAUGAUGACAAUAUAUUAUAAAUCGAUUUUUUAAAUCCAGGAAUUCGAAUAAGAGCUUGCUUUAUCUACUCCAUAUAGCAACCUGAUAGUGCAGAACCUCCAGGAAUGGCAAAUCUCCC